AAACACGGACUGUGCCGGGUGAUAUGCUGGGUCCCAAACCCUUCCCAGACCCAGCCCUGGCACUCACGGAGAUCCAGCUAGGAAGUCCGGGAAAAGGGCAUCGGGGAAAUAAACGAAGGCAAGCACAGUGGAUGAACGUGCUGCCGCCGCUCCCCACGCCUCUUGUGGUGGACAUCCCUUACGCUUCCUCAUGGGGGACGUCCCUUACGCUUCCUCAUGGGGGACGUCCCUUACGCUUCCUCAUGGGGGACGUCCCUUACGCUUCCUCAUGGGGGACGUCCCUUACGCUUCCUCAUGGGGGACGUCACUUACGCUUCCUCAUGGGGGACGUCACUUACGCUUCCUCAUGGUGGACGUCACUUACGCUUCCUGGUGCCCUCCCAGAUGACCCCCCUUGGGCCACUACACACGACCGCACCUGGCAAGAGCAGACAAGGAUGGUCUACUCACCGAGCCUGCAAGGCUGGUGUGCAGGACGGCCCAGCUACGCUCCCCAGGUGUGUGCAAGACCGGGGACGAGUCAGUCAUUGGGAGGAAUUAGUGGCGGGCCCUUGGAAAACCACUACAGACUGAAGCAAUUUCACUUCCACUGGGGAGCAGUGAACGAGGAGGGCUCAGAGCACACGGUGGACGGCCACACGUACCCCGCAGAGCUGCAUUUAGUUCACUGGAAUUCUGUGAAAUACCAAAAUUACAAGGAAGCUGUCCUGGGAGAGAACGGCUUGGCUGUGAUAGGCGUGUUUUUAAAGCUAACCCCUUGUGUGUCUGCCACGCAGCUCGGGGCCCCUCAUCAGACGCUGCAGAGGCUGGUGGACAUCUUGCCGGAAAUAAAACAUAAGGGCUUCUGGGAGCUUCUCCCAUAGCACAGUGUAUCAGAGAGCCCCACAGUUGGACUCCUGGUUCCAGAGCCCCGAUCCACCACUCCUGAGCUGCGCACCUCUGAGCCUCAGCUUCCUCGCCUGUGAAAUGGAGAUAUUAAACAUCCACAGUAGCCCGGGCGUGGUGGCUCACACCUGUAAUCCCAGCACUUAGGGAGGCAGAGGUGGGUAGAUCACCUGAGGUCAGGAGUUCAAGACCAGCCUGGCCAACAUGGCAAAACCCCGUCUGUACUAAAAAUACAAAAAUUAUCUGGAUAUAGUGGCACACUCCUGUAAUCCCAGCUACUCAGGAGGCUGAGGCAAGAGAAUCGCUUGAACCCAGGAGACAGAGGUUGCAGUGAGCCGAGAUCGUGCCACUGCACUCCAGUCUGGGCGACAGCUCGAGAAUCCGUCUCCAAAAAAAAAAUCCACACGAGAGCAGCAUUCUCACCAUGUAAUGGAAUAAGGAGCAUGUCUGGUUCUUGGUUAAGUGUGCAGUUGAGUUUAAGGCCCAGCUGUGGCCAGCACUCACACACACACGUCUGCUGUGGAAUGCACAGGCUGCUGCUGCCCGUCACAAAACGAAAAUCUGCCAGCCCAAUCACUAAGGUUAAAAUCGCUUUUUGUUGCUGCCGGUACUUUCAGUCAGCUGAUUCCUAGAGAGAGCUAUUACCUUUUGGGAGUCCGUGAAACUUUAGAAUGAUGGCCUUGUGAUGGAAAAUGCUAGAAGUGUGGUUGAAUCUAACUCCUGACUGGAGGGCAGUGCAGGGCAGGACGGGGCUGUGGUGGCCUCAGGCUCAAGGGCAGAUGGCCUUGGCUUCGAAUCCCAGCUCUGCCACUCACCCCCAAGGACUCAGCAGUCUUCACCUAGGGACGGGCUCACCUGCAGCUUCUGGGCUGCUUUCCUGGUUUCCUCCAGUUAAGGAACAAACUGUCCUGAACUAGGGCAGGAAAGACCAGAGUCAUGUAGUCCCCAUCAUCUCUCCUGGUUCCAGGCUGGUCCGGGCCCUGCUGUGGGACUGACUCGGCAGAGACCCUCCAGGAAUGCCUGCCACGGUCGCUCCCUGGGGACCCAGCUGGCUUCUAUGCAGUGCUCAGGGCUCCCAGGUGCAUUUCCAGAGACAGCCAGAGGGACAUGAUGUCCUUUUCUGCCCUGGCUUCCAGAGUCACAAAGCACUGCUCCUGCAGCAUCCUGUUCACCACUCCCACCAGGAGCACCUGCCCAGGCUCAGGGCAAGGGGACAUCACCCCACACCUCGGUGGGAGGGGUUCAAAGAAGCGACAGCCCUCCACAUAAAUUAUGACACUGAAUCUUCCAAUCACUCCACGAGGCAGGGCCUGUGAUUCAUCUGUCUUGCACAUACAGGGAAACCAAAGCUCAGAGAGGCAGAGAAGGCCUUGCCCGGGCACACAGCUGGCAGGUGAAGAGCCCGUUUUAAAACCCAGGAAGUGGGUCCAUGGAGCCUGAACUCCCAAUCAUCCCAGCGCCCACCUCCCACGUGCAGUCAGAACCCAGGCUGAGCCGCAGCCCCUGCUGCACACUUCUGAGCUUUUCAGCAGCUUAGAGGGAAACACAGGCAGUGUCUGUAAUGAAAACCACAUCAGGCGCUGCCUGGAAGCCCAGACCCCCGCCCCCACCCUCACCCCCAGCGCCAUCCCAUCUGCACGGGCCCCUACCAGUGCCGACCUCUCACUAUGCUCUCAGCUCCCAGCAUGCAGGCACAGCCCCAUUGUGGCCCCGGUGACCCUGGGCAGACGAUACCAGAAUGGUGACCUCGAGGCUUCACCUUUGACCCUCUCACCAUAGCCAGAAGUUUUGGCAAAAACUGCCCACAGAGGGUCCCCACCCUCCAUGCCUGGACAAGCUGCAAGCUCCUCAGGGUGCUGGGGCCCCCCCUCGUCCCUGCCUUCACAAGAGUCAGGGCUACAGGGAAGUUGUCUGCCUUGUGGAGUUGGAAACAGCCCACCAGGUCCAGGGGAUCCAGGGAAUGGCUCUAUGCCCUUGUGGGGGCUCUUCUAGCUUUGGUGACAGCAGCAGCAGUACCUACCGAGCCCCACGCCCAUGUGGCAGGCACUGACGGAAGCCCAUUACAGCCACCACGCUGCCUGUCAUUCACCUGGGGAAACUGAGACUCUAAGAGGACAAAACAAGGGCAGAGUUAGGCUGGGUGGGGCUUGAUGUUCAUAAGAUGUGGGGUCCUCUUUAAGAGAAAGAAGACAAAACCAGGAAUAGGGCAGUGGCUCACGCCUAUAAUCCCAGCACUUUGGGAGGCUGAGGCGGGCAGAUUACCUGAGGUCAGGAGUUUGAGACCAGCCUGACCAACAUAGAGAAACCCCAUCUCUAUUAGAAAUACAAAGUAAGCCAGGUGUGAUGGCGCAUGCGUGUAAUCCCAGCUACUAGGGAGGCUACGGCAGGAGCAUCGCUUGAACUGGAGAGGUGGAGGUUGUGGUGAGCUGAGAUCGUGCCAUUGCACUCCAGCCUGAGCAACAAGAGCGAAACUCCGUCUCAAAAAAAAUAAAUAAAUAAAAGAAAAGAAAAGUGGAAGAAGUCACCAACCCACUUCCGCCAGCAAAGGCUUGUGGUGCUUUCCACAGGUAGCUGGGCCAUCCGUGCUCAGACACGGGAUGUGAUGGUCUUCAGCCUCAUUGGUGUGCUCACCGGUGUCCCAUUCUAGCUGCCUGGGGCUCACCACACGCAUAAAGGACACGUGGGCAGCCAUGCGCCCCUUUGACCCCUCCAGUCUGCUGCCCACCUGCUGGGAUUACUGGACCUACGCGGGCUCUCUCACCACCCCGCCACUGACGGAGUCGGUCACCUGGAUCAUCCAGAAGGAGCCCGUU
Molecule: RNA transcript, 3698 nt
Organism: Symphalangus syndactylus (siamang)
Lineage: Eukaryota; Metazoa; Chordata; Mammalia; Primates; Hylobatidae
Gene: CA5A
Gene name: carbonic anhydrase 5A
Source: RefSeq, a predicted model, not a curated record